UACGGAGGAUCCGAGCGUUAUCCGGAUUUAUUGGGUUUAAAGGGUGCGUAGGCGGCCUAUUAAGUCAGGGGUGAAAGACGGCAGCUUAACUGUCGCAGUGCCUUUGAUACUGAUGGGCUUGAAUGCGGAUGAGGUAGGCGGAAUGAGACAAGUAGCGGUGAAAUGCAUAGAUAUGUCUCAGAACUCCGAUUGCGAAGGCAGCUUACUAAGCCGUGAUUGACGCUGAUGCACGAAAGCGUGGGGAUCAAACAGG
Molecule: ribosomal RNA, 253 nt
Filed under: uncultured bacterium
Lineage: Bacteria
Description: partial 16S ribosomal RNA
Rfam family: Bacterial small subunit ribosomal RNA
Source: RNAcentral